RNAcentral lists this ribosomal RNA (330 nucleotides) under uncultured eukaryote. Its description in RNAcentral is "partial 18S ribosomal RNA". It matches the Rfam family "Eukaryotic small subunit ribosomal RNA", at positions 1470 to 1796 of the family's 1831-position model. The record is from RNAcentral.
CCCUUAGAUGUCCGGGGCUGCACGCGCGCUACACUGUAGAAAGCAGCGUGCUUUAAAACCUUUCCUGAAAAGGAUGGGUAACCCCAGCAAAAUUCUACGUGCUUGGGAUAGAGAUUUGCAAUUUUCUCUCUUGAACGAGGAAUUCCCAGUAAGUGCGAGUCAUCAGCUCGCGUUGAUUACGUCCCUGCCCUUUGUACACACCGCCCGUCGCUACUACCGAUUGGGAAAAUUUUAGAGAGUCCUGGACCGAUGAUUGUUCGGCUUCACGGCCUUACUUUCGUCGGGAAAGAAUUCGAUAAUAUUUUUCUAGAGGAAGUAAAAGUCGUAACA